AACAAGGUUUCGUAGGUGAACCUGCGGAAGGAUCAUUAACACGUAUCCAACGUUAAAACAACCCCGUGAACUUUCAGCUUGCUCCUGUACCCGUGAAAGCUACAGUUGAGCGAUUGCAUCUAGUGACUGAAGUGUCUGUGAUUGUGUAAGGCACGCGCUGUACAGUCUAGCGUGAAGUUCGCACGGCACCAAAAACCGAACAACUGUUAACAGUGGAUAUCUUGGUUCUC
Molecule: unclassified non-coding RNA, 230 nt
Filed under: fungal sp.
Lineage: Eukaryota; Fungi
Description: partial internal transcribed spacer region
Source: RNAcentral